UACGAAGGGGGCUAGCGUUGUUCGGAAUUACUGGGCGUAAAGCGCGCGCAGGCGGUCUUCCAAGUCAGUGGUGAAAGCCCGGAGCUCAACUCCGGAACUGCCAUUGAAACUGUUGGACUUGAGUACGAGAGAGGUGAGUGGAAUUCCCAGUGUAGAGGUGAAAUUCGUAGAUAUUCGGAAGAACACCAGUGGCGAAGGCGACUCGCUGGACAAGUAUUGACGCUGAGGUGCGAAAGCGUGGGGAGCAAACAGG
Molecule: ribosomal RNA, 253 nt
Filed under: uncultured bacterium
Lineage: Bacteria
Description: partial 16S ribosomal RNA
Rfam family: Bacterial small subunit ribosomal RNA
Source: RNAcentral